RNAcentral lists this ribosomal RNA (256 nucleotides) under uncultured bacterium. RNAcentral's name for it is "partial 16S ribosomal RNA". It matches the Rfam family "Bacterial small subunit ribosomal RNA", at positions 524 to 776 of the family's 1533-position model. The record is from RNAcentral.
UACGAAGGGGACUAGCGUUGUUCGGAAUCACUGGGCGUAAAGCGCACGUAGGCGGAUAUGUCAGUCAGGGGUGAAAUCCCGGGGCUCAACCUCGGAACUGCCUUUGAUACAGCAUGUCUUGAGUCCGAUAGAGGUGGGUGGAAUUCCUAGUGUAGAGGUGAAAUUCGUAGAUAUAUGGAAGAACACCAAUAACGGCGAAGGCAGUUAACUAUUCUGUUACUGACAUUGAGGCACGAAAGCGUGGGGAGCAAAACGG